This 5553-nucleotide long non-coding RNA is filed under the name Nicotiana benthamiana. RNAcentral's name for it is "long non-coding RNA (NBEN_LNC025823)". The record is from RNAcentral. Lineage: Eukaryota; Viridiplantae; Streptophyta; Magnoliopsida; Solanales; Solanaceae.
CUUCGACUAAUAUUUGAGGAAGAAUAAAACUUCAAGCUAUCAAUUAUAUAUUCACAUGCUUGAGCCAUACAUAAAAAUGUUUAAAGUGUUUAAACAAACUCAUAAAAUAAAUUCAACUCUAAUUCAGCAGUCUAACAGGUUCAAAUCUUCACUUAUUUAUAAGCGAUAUCUGCAUUACAAAUUUCAAGAGUUACCUAUAUUGCAGAGAAUCAAAAAUAUAGUAUUGAAAAUGAAUAGAAAAUAGCAGAAAUAACAACAAAUAGCAGGAAACUUUAAAACUCGAUGUGAACCAAAAACACAAACCAAAGCUCAGUGACAUGGGAAAGGAAGAAAGAACUCACAAACUUCAAAUCUUCAACUUACUUUUGGAUGUCAUCUGCUGAUUUGUUCUCGAAGUUUUUGUGUUUUCUUAGUGUAAAAGAUGAUGGCUAAGUGUGAUCUAUUGUGUGUGUAAAAAUGAGCUCUUAAGUAGGAAAUAAAAGCACAUUUUGAACAGAUUUUGGUUUUUCAAAAUUCUGUCAAAAAGGACUAACUUUUCCUACCAAAUAUGUCACGAUCCAAUUUAAGAUUGUGACCGGUGCUUAGGAGGAAGUGCUCCCAAGUAAGCCUCAUUGGAAAUUUUAACCAACCAACCACUAGAAAUACUAAUUUAUCUUCAACUUUGAUAAAUGAGAACGAUACUCAACAUAAGACUAUAAUAACAAAAGAUUACGUAUGACACUAAAAUAAUGACUAUGGAGCGACUCUAAGAGUUCAAUGAAAAGACCAUAACAAUAAGUAAAAUCUUUGCCCACGCGAACAAGUGCGAGCCUCACCGAGAAAUAUCAACAUGUGCGCUCUAAUUAACAAAAUCCUUGUCUGCCUCAACUGAUGUCUCUGUACAAAAAAUUAGUGGGGAAUGAGUCGCUAGCUCAGUGAGUAAUAACACUUAACAACAACCGCUUUUAUUUGGGGAUAAGUCAAAAACAUUCUAGUAUCGCAAAGAGAAAAUAACAUAAAAAUGCCCUUAAGAAAUAAUAAAUAAUUUUCAGCCUCAUCACAUUUUUCUUAUAGUAAAAUAUAAUUAAGAAUUUAGUAAUAAGCUCGGUAACCGCUGUACAAUAUCAGUAUUCAUAUUUUUUCUAAGGUUUCAAUGAACGGAUCAUGUAUUCGGUAUACUUCUUUGCAAGAAAUCAUAUAUAAUGGUAGUCCCUACUUGAGGAAAACCAGUAACGGUAUGCUAGUUCUACCUUUCCACUAGCGAGGGCUAUAACGGUAAUCACUAAUUACAAGGUGCACCAUAUCUAACGGACCCACCGUUAGCUGCGGGAUGUUUCAAUACCUACUCCCAUUUAUACUUGGCGCAGUAAUCCGUAUAUACUCGUAGAAACUAUUUUAAUACAAUAUAAGGCAUUUCGGUUCUUAUCAAAUCAUUUAAUUUCCUUUCAAUAACAGUGAAUUCAAGCAACGGUAAAACAUAUCUAGUAAACAUCAAGAAUAUUUAAAACAACGUUAAUCAUGUCAAAUAAUUAUUCGGUCUCAUAUUGAGUAAAAGACUUAUUCCACAUGCAACUCAAAAUAAUCAGUAACAUAUUCAUAUUAAAAAUUAUGUGUAAAUCAUGCAAGUUAUGAAAACACAAAUUACGGUAAAAUUACUGCUCAUAGUACUCAUGCCGAAAUACCAACUACUUCACCUCAAGAAACUCGUACAAAUUCUUCCAAUCAAUCUAUAAUUACAUAAUAUCAAUAUCAUGUUAAUUUUCUUAUUUAGGCUAAUUCAUAGCUAUUUUAGAGUACCCAAUCAUCGGGGUUCAUAUUUUGGUCUUAAUUUGUGGAUUUAUAUUUACCCACAUAUGAGUAAUACUAAUGUAUCAACUCCAUCCUAUUCAUAAAAUUUGUUACUCCAAGUUUUAUGAAGUUCUAUUGAUUCUUUAGGAAAAAAUUUCUCAAUUGUGUAAAUGAACUAGUAUAAUUUCUAUUACUCUGAAGAAUCUUCCAAUCAAGAGAAUCGAAAUUAAAAUCUAUCAGGAGAAGAAGUUCAAGUAAUACCCGUAGAAAACAAUUAGUGAUUAAAAUUUCUCAACAAUUAUAGCUAUGGUUCCAACGCACUGCACCCACUUCUUUCUCUUUCUUUUCUCUUUUCUUUCUUUCUUUCUUUCUUUCUUCUGAUCGCUUUCGUUUGAUUUUUUUUCUUUCCAUUGAAGCUUUCACGUUCCAGCAGAAAGCUUUGCUUUCUAAACCCUUAAAACUUUGGAAAGAUAAGUUAAUGGGCUUCGACCCUUUGUUUUCAAUUCUUACUCUUUUUUAAAGCUAGUUUUAUUAUUAUUAUUAUUGUUAUUAUUAUUUUUCUAAUGACCAAUUCACCCUUAGAAAAUAUAGGGUAUUACAUCCUCUCCACCUUAUGAUAUUCGGUCCCCAAAUUUAACUUAAGUACAUACAUGUAGGCUGAAACAAAUGGGGAUACUUCGCUUGCAUAUAUCUAGUUCUCAAGUAGCUUCUUUGACUGUAUGAUUUUGCUAUAAGACUUUUACGAACUCAAUUUCUUUUGACUGUAGCUUUCUUACUUGCCUAUCAACAAUAGCCAUUGGCACCUUCUCGUAAGACAACCUCUCAUUGAGUGGUAUAGUCGGUGCUUCAAUCACCUGAGAUGAGCCUGAUAUACAUUUUCUUAGCAUUGAGACGUGAAACACUGGAUGAAUAAAGGAUAACUCAGGAGGAAGUGCCAAACGAUAAGCCACAACUCUCACUUGAUCUAGUAUCUCAUACGGUCCUUUAAGCCUGGGACUCAGCUUGCCUCUUUUCACGAACCGCAUCACACCUUUCAUAUGGGAGACUCGUAGGCACACUUUAUCCCCAAGUGUGAACGCUAAAUCUCUUCUUCUCUUAUCAGCAUAAGACAUUUGUCUACUUUGAGCUGCAAGUAAUCUCUAUCUGAUCGACUGGACCUUGUCCAUAGCUUCUUGUACUAGUUCGGGUCACAAUACGUCAGUCUCACCAGCUUCAAACCAUCCGAUAGAAGAACGAUAUCUUCUACCAUACAAUACUUCAUAUGGUGCCAUUUGAAUACUGGACUGGAAGUUAUUAUUGUAAAAAAUUCAGGUAAAGGUAGAUAAGCAUCCCAACUACCUCCAAACUCAAGAAUGCAAGCUCUCAACAUAUCCUCCAAGAUCUGUAUAGUACGUUCAAACUGCCCGUUUGUCUAUGAAUGAAAUGCAGUACUAAUCUACUCGUGUACCCAAUGCUUAUUGAAAAGAUUUCCAAAAGCCUGAGGUAAAUUGUGAUCCUCUAUCACAGAUUAUGGAUAUUGGGACUCCGUCAAGCAGGAAAAUUGCAUUCAUAAAUAUAUGUGCAUACCUGACUCCACCAUGUGUAGUCUUCAACGGCAAAAAGUGUGCUGAUUUCGUUAGUUGAUCUACAAUCACCCAUACCGAGUCAUAACCUCUAAGGGUUCGUGGUAGCCCGGUGACAAAACCCAUAGUAAUUCUUUCUCAUUUUCACUCUGGAAUCUCAAUUUGUUGCAAUAGACCAGCGGGUCACUGAUGCUCAGCCUUGACCUGCUGUCACGCCUCCUUUUUUCUACACCUGAAAGGGUAUAAGGGAGUUUUUCCAACUUAAAGUGACAAUCAAAAUGCAAUUUAUUUAUUUAAAGAUUCAGAGUCGCCACUUGGGAUAACUUUAUGGUAUCCCAAGUCACCGGUUCAAAUCCCGAAUCAAGAAAAGAUUGACUCUGUUUCACAGUCCACGAACAAAGAAAUCCUGAUAAGAAAUUAUGUUAACCUAUGAGAAGGUGUUAGGCAUUCCCGAGUUCUGUGGUUCUAGCACGGUCUCUCAACAGUUAUUAUUGGCCUAAUUAUCUGAUUUUAAAGCGCUUUUAAACCUAUAUGCAUUUUCUUUAAAACUGCUUUUAAUUAUUUUAAGGAAUAUUUCAAUGUCGUCUAAAAUACGUCUUUGGACCACGCCACACGAAAUGCACCCGCAGUCUGAGACACAUUUUAUUUAACGUUGUUAUGAUUUGGAUUUGGAUCACAUGAAAUACAUACUGGAGUUUAGGAAGGUAGAUUUUAAAAUACCGCGCCUAAAGCAACUACGCAUUUUUAAGUUUGCGAGGGCCAUGGAAAUUCAACUAAAUGGCAUGCCUCGAGUUUCUACAAAGUUAAAAUUAAUUAAGUGAGGGCCAUGGGUUUUAAAAUUUUAUUUAGUAUGGCACACCUCAAAAAAUUUUAAAAGAUUGUACUCAACUUAAAGCAAACUACAAAUGUUCACGAUCGUUUAAUAAACUACUUUGAGAUUAUUGUGAGGGCAUGAACAAAAUAUUUGUCAUUAGCGUAGGCUACAUAGAGUACGGUGAAAGGAAACACCUAUACCGGCUAAAGCACCGGAGAAUUAUCAAUUACACUAUCUUUGACACAUGGAACAAACAAUGGUGUCAAAACUACCUAUAGUUAACUUAGGAAGAUUGCAAGUUAGUAGGAAAAGAUUUGGUGAUCAACCAGAUGCAAAUUUUCAAGGUCUCAACCACAAAUAAGCCAAUAAUUAAACAUUCAAAUCAAGUUUCAAAAUAGUAAGGACAUGCUAAACAGUACCACAAAUUUCUGGAUAAACAUAAAGAUGGUUCAAGAUGCCAAAGUUGUUUCAUGAAAUAGACUACAAGAACACGGAAAAUAUUCCACAAUAUGCAUUCCUAGAGUCACUACCUGGAUUAAGAGAUGCCUUAGCCUUUCAAGGAGACAACUAUGUCUCAGGCUCCUUCUCGACAUUAUUAAUAAUACAACUUAGAUAUCGAGAGCAUUUGCAGUUACAUUGCUUCUGCCUUUUAGGAGUACCAUCUUUUACCUCACUAACACCAUUAAUCAGACACCUUCAUAAAUCACGAUCAUAUGAUUUAAAUAGAUCUUGCACGAAAAUAAAGAUAUUGCACAAAAAGUAACCUAUAUAUCUAAAAAUAGAGAACAAACAUUGCAAAACCAAAAUUCAAGUAAAUCAAAUGCAAGAGGAAUAUAAACAUUGCUUGGUCAUUAAACAAAAAUAAUACAAAAGGGGAUUUAAAACUGACCUAGCUGAAGAGGAAAACACUAAAGGAUAAUCCAACAAAGAGCAGCAUCUGAUUCAAACUAAUUUUCCACAAGUGAAACAAAGUCCAGCUAGUGAAGGAACAACAGCACUCGGCUUCGAUUCUCAGAUCAGGAAAAAACCAAAUUGAAACUCAGAAAAUAGUGAAGAUAAUUCCUUGAAACAUCAGUAACGAAUGCACUUUUCAGAACCAUUUUUGGUGUGUUUUUUCCGAAUCGUAAAGUUGAGAAUCUCGGAGCUCUAACUCGAACUUGACAGCUUUAUAAUUUUUUUUGGUUUGUUUUGUAUUAAGGCUAGCCAGCUUGUCUUUAGGAGAGAAUAUGAUUGUGAGUGUAUUCUCCCUUGGGAAUCGAAGGAGAGAGGUUGUGAGAGAGAAGAUGGAAGAUUGAAGGGUUGCUUCUUUUUUUUUAAGAGCGCCGCUGUAGGUCUCUUAUUGUAUCCCCGAAAAAUCUUAUCCUAGGUCUUCUAUAUCUAGGUUUUAUUAAAAGGUUAAGGGGUUUGAGU